AUUGAACGCUGGCGGCAUGCUUUACACAUGCAAGUCGAACGGCAGCACGGGUGCUUGCACCUGGUGGCGAGUGGCGGACGGGUGAGUAAUACAUCGGAACGUGUCCAGAAGAGGGGGAUAACGCAUCGAAAGAUGUGCUAAUACCGCAUAUGCUCUGAGGAGGAAAGUGGGGGGAUCGAAAGACCUUACGCUUUUGGAGCGGCCGAUGUCUGAUUAGCUAGUUGGUGGGGUAAGGGCCUACCAAGGCGACGAUCAGUAGUUGGUCUGAGAGGACGACCAGCCACACUGGGACUGAGACACGGCCCAGACUCCUACGGGAGGCAGCAGUGGGGAAUUUUGGACAAUGGGCGCAAGCCUGAUCCAGCAAUGCCGCGUGAGUGAAGAAGGCCUGG
This 392-nucleotide ribosomal RNA is filed under the name uncultured bacterium. RNAcentral describes it as "bacterial SSU rRNA". It matches the Rfam family "Bacterial small subunit ribosomal RNA", at positions 30 to 419 of the family's 1533-position model. The record is from RNAcentral.